Molecule: non-coding RNA, 111 nt
Organism: Acanthosepion pharaonis
Lineage: Eukaryota; Metazoa; Mollusca; Cephalopoda; Sepiida; Sepiidae
Source: the annotation of a GenBank genome assembly
UUACGGCCAUAUCACGUUGAAAAACCAGCACCUGUACGAUCACCGAAGUUAAGCAAUUUCGAACCUGGUCAGUAACUUGAUAGGUAACUGUUUGGGAAUACUAGUGUUGUA